Non-coding RNA from Ataeniobius toweri, 83 nucleotides. The record is from the annotation of a GenBank genome assembly. NCBI's taxonomy places the organism in Eukaryota, Metazoa, Chordata, Actinopteri, Cyprinodontiformes, Goodeidae.
UGCACGGUAGCGCAGUUGGUAGCACUGUUGCCUUGCAGCAAGAAUUUCCUGGGUUUGACUCCCGGCCGGGGGUCUUUCUGCAU